AUUUCUCAACCUUUCCUUUCUUGAACAACCAGCAGCGCCCAACUCUCUCUCUCUCUCUCCCCUUCUCUUUCCAAAAUUGUUGGCUUUCAUUGCUCUGCAAAUUUCCUUGUAGGACCAAAACUUCAGAUCUGAAACCACCCCAACGAAGGGGUAGGAAGAAUUGGAGAAAAUGAUGAGGGAGAAGAUCAAGAUCAGGAAGAUUGACUACUUGCCGGCAAGGCAGGUGACCUUCUCAAAAGAGGAGAAUAGGGGAUUUUGAAGAAAGCUGGAGAGUUGUCGAUGAGAACCCAUGACAUCGCCUAGCAGAUGAAGGCGGUGCAUAAGGAGAUGCCCACCACCGUCAGGCUGUCCGAGUACUUGAGGAAGGAUGCCGAGCCUAGAGAACGAGAGAGAUCACUGAGAGAAUGAGAGAGAUCUAGGAUUGAAAUUUUCUGGUUCAGGUUGUGCGAGAGGCAAUCUGAAAGUGUAAGGAAAGGAGGGCAAUUUUGGGGUUAUUGAAAAAUUCAUUAAAGAUUUACUGUUCACCCUUGUUUUUGGAAGAUUUGCAGCUUUAGGUUUUGAGCUUAUUUUCAUCCACAACUUUGAAAUAAAGUUGAUUUUGAUAGUUUACCAAACAGCAAGAACCCUUUCUACUUUUUUUUA
Long non-coding RNA from Malus domestica (apple), 642 nucleotides. RefSeq lists it as uncharacterized. Lineage: Eukaryota; Viridiplantae; Streptophyta; Magnoliopsida; Rosales; Rosaceae. The record is from RefSeq and is a predicted model, not a curated record.